CAGUCGAGGGGUAGAGUUCUUCGGAGCUUGAGACCGGCGCACGGGUGCGUAACGCGUAUGCAAUCUACCUUUUACAGAGGGAUAGCCCAGAGAAAUUUGGAUUAAUACCUCAUAGUAUAAUUGAAUGGCAUCAUUUAAUUAUUAAAGUCACAACGGUAAAAGAUGAGCAUGCGUCCCAUUAGCUAGUUGGUAAGGUAACGGCUUACCAAGGCUACGAUGGGUAGGGGUCCUGAGAGGGAGAUCCCCCACACUGGUACUGAGACACGGACCAGACUCCUACGGGAGGCAGCAGUGAGGAAUAUUGGACAAUGGGCGCAAGCCUGAUCCAGCCAUGCCGCGUGCAGGAUGACGGUCCUAUGGAUUGUAAACUGCUUUUGUACAGGAAGAAACACUGGUUCGUGAACCAGCUUGACGGUACUGUAAGAAUAAGGAUCGGCUAACUCCGUGCCAGCAGCCGCGGUAAUACGGAGGAUCCAAGCGUUAUCCGGAAUCAUUGGGUUUAAAGGGUCCGUAGGCGGUUUGGUAAGUCAGUGGUGAAAGCCCAUCGCUCAACGGUGGAACGGCCAUUGAUACUGCUAGACUUGAAUUAUUAGGAAGUAACUAGAAUAUGUAGUGUAGCGGUGAAAUGCUUAGAGAUUACAUGGAAUACCAAUUGCGAAGGCAGGUUACUACUAAUAUAUUGACGCUGAUGGACGAAAGCGUGGGUAGCGAACAGGAUUAGAUACCCUGGUAGUCCACGCCGUAAACGAUGGAUACUAGCUGUUGGGCGCAAGUUCAGUGGCUAAGCGAAAGUGAUAAGUAUCCCACCUGGGGAGUACGUUCGCAAGAAUGAAAC
RNAcentral lists this ribosomal RNA (835 nucleotides) under Flavobacterium sp. RNAcentral describes it as "bacterial SSU rRNA". It matches the Rfam family "Bacterial small subunit ribosomal RNA", at positions 59 to 900 of the family's 1533-position model. The record is from RNAcentral. Lineage: Bacteria; Pseudomonadati; Bacteroidota; Flavobacteriia; Flavobacteriales; Flavobacteriaceae.